This 21-nucleotide unclassified non-coding RNA is filed under the name Mus musculus (house mouse). RNAcentral's name for it is "oocyte_clustered_small_RNA12358". Lineage: Eukaryota; Metazoa; Chordata; Mammalia; Rodentia; Muridae. The record is from RNAcentral.
GGCCUCUGUUUCUCUUCUCGU